Molecule: ribosomal RNA, 253 nt
Filed under: uncultured bacterium
Lineage: Bacteria
Description: partial 16S ribosomal RNA
Rfam family: Bacterial small subunit ribosomal RNA
Source: RNAcentral
UACGUAGGUGGCAAGCGUUGUCCGGAAUUACUGGGCGUAAAGGGUGCGUAGGCGGUUUAUUAAGUCAGAUGUGAAAUUCCCAGGCUCAACCUGGGGACUGCAUUUGAAACUGGUAGGCUAGAGUGCAGGAGAGGAAAGCGGAAUUCCUAGUGUAGCGGUGAAAUGCGUAGAUAUUAGGAAGAACACCGGUGGCGAAGGCGGCUUUCUGGACUGUAACUGACGCUGAGGCACGAAAGCGUGGGGAGCAAACAGG